RNAcentral lists this unclassified non-coding RNA (288 nucleotides) under uncultured Minimelanolocus. RNAcentral's name for it is "sequence contains ITS2". The stretch from base 1 to 52 matches the Rfam family "5.8S ribosomal RNA", at positions 103 to 154 of the family's 154-position model. Lineage: Eukaryota; Fungi; Ascomycota; Eurotiomycetes; Chaetothyriales; Herpotrichiellaceae. The record is from RNAcentral.
AACGCACAUUGCGCCCUUUGGUAUUCCGAAGGGCAUGCCUGUUCGAGCGUCAUUAUCACCCCUCAAGCCCCCGGCUUGGUGUUGGAUGGUUUGGUGAUGGAGCCCUUCGGGCCCCGGUCACCCCUCCCAAAGACAAUGACGGCGGCCUCGUUGGACCCCCGGUACACUGAGUUCCUUACCGAACACGUACCGGAGCAAGGGCCCGCGGAGCACGGUCUGCCUCCCCUCAGGGAGAACUUUUUUCUCAAGGUUGACCUCGGAUCAGGUAGGAAUACCCGCUGAACUUAA